This 442-nucleotide ribosomal RNA is filed under the name uncultured bacterium. RNAcentral describes it as "partial 16S ribosomal RNA". It matches the Rfam family "Bacterial small subunit ribosomal RNA", at positions 338 to 795 of the family's 1533-position model. The record is from RNAcentral.
CCUACGGGUGGCUGCAGUGGGGAAUAUUGGGCAAUGGGCGCAAGCCUGACCCAGCAACGCCGCGUGCAGGAAGACGGCUUUCGGGUUGUAAACCUCCUUUUAGAGGGAGGUGAAGAAGACGGUACCUCUUGAAUAAGCCACGGCUAACUACGUGCCAGCAGCCGCGGUAAUACGUAGGUGCGAAGUGUUGUCCGGGUUUACUGGGUGGAAAGGGCGUGCAGCCGGGAAGACAAGUCAGAUGUGAAAUCCCGCGGCUCAACCGCGGAACUGCGUUUGAAACUGUUUGUCUUGAGAACCGUAGAGGUCAGCGGAAUUCAUUGUGUAGCGGUGAAAUGCGUAGAGAUAAGGCAGAACACCGAUGGCGAAGGCAGAUGACUGGACGGCAACUGACGGUGAGGCGCGAAAGCGUGGGGAGCAAACAGGAUUAGAUACCCUAGUAGUC